GGGGUUGUGGCUCAGUGGUAGAGCGCUCGCCUCGCAUGCAUGAGGCCCUGAGUUCAAUCCUCAGCACCA
RNAcentral lists this transfer RNA (69 nucleotides) under Ictidomys tridecemlineatus (thirteen-lined ground squirrel). RNAcentral describes it as "Spermophilus tridecemlineatus (thirteen-lined ground squirrel) tRNA". It matches the Rfam family "tRNA". Rfam says of the family: Transfer RNA (tRNA) molecules are approximately 80 nucleotides in length. Their secondary structure includes four short double-helical elements and three loops (D, anti-codon, and T loops). The record is from Rfam by way of RNAcentral. Lineage: Eukaryota; Metazoa; Chordata; Mammalia; Rodentia; Sciuridae.